UUCGUGUUUUCAUCAUUUGUCGGAACUCUGUCUGACAGUCUGAGAAUUCGAACAAAAGGUAAAAGGAAAAAGGGAAACUGAAACAAGAUAAAAAGCUGCCAUCAACUCCUUAGUGUUGAUAAACAAAAUGUGACGUAACUUUGCAUCAGGAAAAAACAAUUACUAGGAACUUUGUGCCGACAUUGGGAGUGGGUCUGAAACGCCGACAGUUUCCCGAAAAAUCAUAAAAAGCGCGUCCUUGAAAUUUGUUCACGCGUUUCUUUUUCUAAAUAUUUUGACUGGUAUAUGUGUCGCCAGUGUGGUCGAGUCUCGGGACAGGAUAAGAGCAGUGUGUAAUUACAGUCGUCCUUCGAUUACUCCGGUUAUGGGGUCUCCAUCAGACAUUACUGUCUUCCAGGCAGACCCUUCGACUUUCCACUUGGAAUUCUCGCCAAUCCCAGAUAUUGCUACGGACAAUAUCAUUUCUUCAGGAUACUUUGUUUUUACCUAAAAUUUACAAUGGAGUCUACUUUGACACUUGAAUUCGAAAUACAGCAGCAUUACAUGUUUUUAA
Molecule: long non-coding RNA, 553 nt
Organism: Daphnia magna
Lineage: Eukaryota; Metazoa; Arthropoda; Branchiopoda; Diplostraca; Daphniidae
Exons: 3
Source: RefSeq, a predicted model, not a curated record